GCACCUAGUGGCGAACGGGUGAGUAACACGUAUCUAACCUACCUUUUAGUGGGGGAUAACAGUUGGAAACGACUGCUAAUACCGCAUACGACACCAUUAUGGCAUCAGAAGGUGUUAAAAGGCCCGUUUGGGUCGCUAGAAGAUGGGGAUGCGGCGUAUUAGCUAGUAGGUGGGGUAAUUGCCCACCUAGGCAAUGAUACGUAGCCGAACUGAGAGGUUGAUCGGCCACAUUGGGACUGAGAUACGGCCCAGACUCCUACGGGAGGCAGCAGUAGGGAAUUUUUCACAAUGGACGAAAGUCUGAUGAAGCAAUGCCGCGUGAGUGAUGACGGUCUUCGGAUUGUAAAGCUCUGUUGUAAGGGAAGAAUAGGUAAAAGAGGAAAUGCUUUUAUUUUGACGGUACCUUACCAGAAAGCCACGGCUAACUAUGUGCCAGCAGCCGCGGUAAUACAUAGGUGGCAAGCGUUAUCCGGAUUUAUUGGGCGUACAGGGUGCGUAGGCGGUUCGAUAAGUUUGAGGUUAAAUCCCGGGGCUCAACCCCGGCUCGCCUUGAAAACUGUCUUACUAGAAUACACGAGAGGUAGAUGGAAUUCCUUGUGUAGCGGUGAAAAUGCGUAAAAUAUAUUGGAGA
This 631-nucleotide ribosomal RNA is filed under the name uncultured bacterium. Its description in RNAcentral is "bacterial SSU rRNA". It matches the Rfam family "Bacterial small subunit ribosomal RNA", at positions 88 to 705 of the family's 1533-position model. The record is from RNAcentral.